ACAUAUAUGGUGCAGUGGUUCUUGCGUUGGACUAGGACUCUGGAGACCAGGGUUCGAAUCCCGGCUUGGCUA
Non-coding RNA from Phrynosoma platyrhinos (Desert horned lizard), 72 nucleotides. The record is from the annotation of a GenBank genome assembly. Lineage: Eukaryota; Metazoa; Chordata; Lepidosauria; Squamata; Phrynosomatidae.